Molecule: ribosomal RNA, 350 nt
Filed under: uncultured archaeon
Lineage: Archaea
Description: bacterial SSU rRNA
Rfam family: Archaeal small subunit ribosomal RNA
Source: RNAcentral
CCUACCCUAUGGACGGGAAUAACCUCGGGAAACUGAGUAUAAUGCCCGAUAGAACAUUAUACCUGGAAUGGUUUAUGUUCCAAAUGAUUUAUCGCCGUAGGAUGGGACUGCGGCCUAUCAGUUUGUUGGUGAGGUAAUGGCCCACCAAGACUAUUACAGGUACGGGCUCUGAGAGGAGUGGCCCGGAGAUGGGUACUGAGACACGGACCCAGGCCCUAUGGGGCGCAGCAGGCGAGAAAACUUUGCAAUGUGCGAAAGCACGACAAGGUUAAUCCGAGUGGUUUCUGCUAAAGGAACCUUUUGUCAGUCCUAGAAACACUGAUGAAUAAGGGGUGGGCAAGUUCUGGUGU